Long non-coding RNA from Pungitius pungitius (ninespine stickleback), 1321 nucleotides. RefSeq lists it as uncharacterized. Lineage: Eukaryota; Metazoa; Chordata; Actinopteri; Perciformes; Gasterosteidae. The record is from RefSeq and is a predicted model, not a curated record. The transcript has 3 exons.
GUGAUGUAAAUAGAUGUUACGGGGAACUGGUAAGUUAAAGAACUUCAUCACCCAGAAUUCCCUAUUCUUGGUUGACGGACAUGCGCAGACUACGUGCGCGGCUGUGCGCACGUAGUCUGCGCAUGUACGCCACUGGAUUCCGGGUUUGUGUUGAACAGGCACAGUAUCACCGCUCCGUAUUUUAAACUGCUAACUACACACCUAUACUUCAUGAACUAUUACUACUAUGUGGAUGUAAGCAAAGUGUUCUCAUUCCCUCUUGGAUGUGUGCAGCCAGUGAGGUACGUUUUGUUUAAGGGCUUGUUAUAUCUGCUCGACGGCACGGACAGCUAACUGGGCUAGAGAGAGGAGCUAGCGAUUGCCGGACGGGCCAGCCAGUCAGCCAGCUUGCUAACUACACACCGAUGGUUACGUCCACAUGUACUCAACGAAGUGGAAACGCUUUUGACGAUGGCCCGUGCAAAGUCAUGCCACCAUCAAUUCAAUUCAAUUCAUUUUAUUUUGUAUAGGCCAAAAUCGCAAAUUACACAUUUGCCUCAGAGGGCUUUACAGUCUGUACACAUGCAAUGGGAAUGGCACAUUGGACACGUGGCUUUCAACUCCAGCGAGGUGGCGGCACGGAUCUCUGCAUGUCUGACUGACAUCUCCCAGUGGAUGUCCGCCCAUCACCUGAAGAUCAACCCCGACAAGACUGAACUACUUUUCUUCCCUGGAAAAAACUCGCCCACUCAGGACCUGACCGUUAACUUUGGCGAACACCGUUAACAUCAGGAGAAUACCACCCCUUCUCACUCAGAAGGCGGCGCAGGUACUGAUUCAGGCUCUUGUCAUCUCUCGCCUCGACUACUGUAACUCUCUGCUGGCAGGUCUCCCUGCUACCGCCAUUCGACCACUGCAGCUCAUCCAGAAUGCAGCAGCUCGACUGGUCUUCAACCUUCUGAAAUACUCCCACACCACACCGCUUCUCCCUUCACUUCAUUGGUUACCAGUGGCUGCCCGCAUCCAGUUCAAAGCAUUGGUACUGACGGACCACGCUGUGAAUGGAUCGGGACCAGUCUACAUCCGGGACAUGGUGAAACCCUGCAUCCCAACCCACGCACUCCGAUCUGCAUCUGGCAAGCUGCUUGUUCCUCCCUCACUGAGAGAAAAGCACUCGACGAGAUGGCGACUCUUUGCUGUCCUGCUCCCAGAUGGUGGAAUGAGCUCUCUGAUGACAUCAGGACCGCAGAGAGCCUCUCCAUCUUCCGUCGAAAACUCAAGACACACCUUUUUAGACUCUACCUUGACCAAAACACUAGCAAACCGUAGCACUAACAAAUGG